CGGGGCUAAACAUAUUACCGAAGCUGUGGAUUGUCCUUUGGACAAUGGUAGGAGAGCGUUCUAAGGGCGUUGAAGCAUGAUCGUAAGGACAUGUGGAGCGCUUAGAAGUGAGAAUGCCGGUGUGAGUAGCGAAAGACGGGUGAGAAUCCCGUCCACCGAUUGACUAAGGUUUCCAGAGGAAGGCUCGUCCGCUCUGGGUUAGUCGGGUCCUAAGCUGAGGCCGACAGGCGUAGGCGAUGGAUAACAGGUUGAUAUUCCUGUACCACCUAUAAUCGUUUUAAUCGAUGGGGGGACGCAGUAGGAUAGGCGAAGCGUGCGAUUGGAUUGCACGUCUAAGCAGUAAGGCUGAGUAUUAGGCAAAUCCGGUACUCGUUAAGGCUGAGCUGUGAUGGGGAGAAGACAUUGUGUCUUCGAGUCGUUGAUUUCACACUGCCGAGAAAAGCCUCUAGAUAGAAAAUAGGUGCCCGUACCGCAAACCGACACAGGUAGUCAAGAUGAGAAUUCUAAGGUGAGCGAGCGAACUCUCGUUAAGGAACUCGGCAAAAUGACCCCGUAACUUCGGGAGAAGGGGUGCUCUUUAGGGUUAACGCCCAGAAGAGCCGCAGUGAAUAGGCCCAAGCGACUGUUUAUCAAAAACACAGGUCUCUGCUAAACCGUAAGGUGAUGUAUAGGGGCUGACGCCUGCCCGGUGCUGGAAGGUUAAGAGGAGUGGUUAGCUUCUGCGAAGCUACGAAUCGAAGCCCCAGUAAACGGCGGCCGUAACUAUAACGGUCCUAAGGUAGCGAAAUUCCUUGUCGGGUAAGUUCCGACCCGCACGAAAGGCGUAACGAUUUGGGCACUGUCUCAACGAGAGACUCGGUGAAAUCAUAGUACCUGUGAAGAUGCAGGUUACCCGCGACAGGACGGAAAGACCCCGUGGAGCUUUACUGUAGCCUGAUAUUGAAAUUCGGCACAGCUUGUACAGGAUAGGUAGGAGCCUUUGAAACGUGAGCGCUAGCUUACGUGGAGGCGCUGGUGGGAUACUACCCUAGCUGUGUUGGCUUUCUAACCCGCACCACUUAUCGUGGUGGGAGACAGUGUCAGGCGGGCAGUUUGACUGGGGCGGUCGCCUCCUAAAAGGUAACGGAGGCGCUCAAAGGUUCCCUCAGAAUGGUUGGAAAUCAUUCAUAGAGUGUAAAGGCAUAAGGGAGCUUGACUGCGAGACCUACAAGUCGAGCAGGGUCGAAAGACGGACUUAGUGAUCCGGUGGUUCCGCAUGGAAGGGCCAUCGCUCAACGGAUAAAAGCUACCCCGGGGAUAACAGGCUUAUCUCCCCCAAGAGUUCACAUCGACGGGGAGGUUUGGCACCUCGAUGUCGGCUCAUCGCAUCCUGGGGCUGUAGUCGGUCCCAAGGGUUGGGCUGUUCGCCCAUUAAAGCGGUACGCGAGCUGGGUUCAGAACGUCGUGAGACAGUUCGGUCCCUAUCCGUCGUGGGCGUAGGAAAUUUGAGAGGAGCUGUCCUUAGUACGAGAGGACCGGGAUGGACAUACCUCUGGUGUACCAGUUGUCGUGCCAACGGCAUAGCUGGGUAGCUAUGUGUGGACGGGAUAAGUGCUGAAAGCAUCUAAGCAUGAAGCCCCCCUCAAGAUGAGAUUUCCCAACUUCGGUUAUAAGAUCCCUCAAAGAUGAUGAGGUUAAUAGGUUCGAGGUGGAAGCAUGGCGACAUGUGGAGCUGACGAAUACUAAUCGAUCGAAGACUUAAUCAA
This 1745-nucleotide ribosomal RNA is filed under the name Staphylococcus aureus T66622. RNAcentral describes it as "bacterial LSU rRNA". It matches the Rfam family "Bacterial large subunit ribosomal RNA", at positions 1176 to 2925 of the family's 2925-position model. The record is from RNAcentral. Lineage: Bacteria; Bacillati; Bacillota; Bacilli; Caryophanales; Staphylococcaceae.